AGGAUAAUAGUUAAAAUUAACAUUUAAUUUGCAUUUAAAAAAUAUUGGAAAAUUUAAUCCAAUUUAUCUUA
This 71-nucleotide transfer RNA is filed under the name Niphades castanea. RNAcentral's name for it is "tRNA-Ala". The record is from RNAcentral. Lineage: Eukaryota; Metazoa; Arthropoda; Insecta; Coleoptera; Curculionidae.